AGCAGGGCGGCGUGGGGCGGCGUCGGCCCCGCCGCGCCUCCCCCGUCGGCGACCCCAGCGAGCGGCGGUGGUACAGUCCGAGACGGCCCCGGGCUAUAAAUAGCGCCAGGCGCAUGGCUCUUCGGGAGGCGCUGAGAUUCCGGGCCCGGCGACCGCGGGGAGCGGGUGCCUCUUAGGAACCGGGUUGCUGGCCUCCUCUUUGCCUUUUGGGGGUUCUUUUUGUAAUAGCAGCAGAAAAAGCGAGCUGGCUUGGAGGGAGUCCGCCCAGCGAUCCGAGUGCGCAUUGAUCAGUGUGGAGAGAAAAAAAGCUACAUAAAUAUAUAUUAUGUGGAUGAAUCUAUAGACAAGAGCUGUCUUGCGCGCGCUCUCUGUCUCUCCGUCUCUCUGCUUUUUUCCUCCUCGCAUCCCCAACCUGCCAGAGCAGCCCCAAACCGUCGCCCUCCCGCACAGCGUCUACCGCUACCCGAGCCACCUGGGACUGGGGAGUAGUUGGGCCGCGCUGGGGGGACGGGGCGUAGAGAUUCUGGGCCCGACCCGCCUGCGAAGACUGGAGAAAUGAGACCCGGCUUCCUGAAAAUCGAGACCAAGCCCGUUUGGUACAACCACAACGCGGAGCUCUCCAGCGCUGGGAAGAGGCCCAAGGAGGCCCCGAGGUUCGCAGCCCCAGGCCCCCAGCCCACCCGGGACACCUCUCCCUGAGGAUCCAGGGCCCAAACCAAACAGCAAGUACAAUUCUGAGAACUGUGGAACUUCCUCCUUUCAUUUUAAGCUUCUCCUGCCUUUGCUUGAUGGAAUCGUGUAUCAGAAGGCUUCUGUGGUCUGUUUCCCACUCCCCAGGCCCGGGGACGCUGGAGGAUGGUCCUGCAGCCUAGUCGCUUUGUGAGCCCAGCCUGGGCACAGCGCGGCAGCGUGUCUGACACAGCAGCAAGACCACCAGUGCCACCGAGGACCCACAGUGAAGUCAGCUUCCUCAAAGUCUGCUUCAAACAUUUAUAAGACGAAAAAACAAAGAUUUCCCUCUGGGGUGGCUUUCAAAACUAGUUUUGAUCAUUUGAAGAGUAAAUCCUUAGCUACUUAGAAAGCUUGACAAUCUAAAAUGAUUCAUUUGUCAAAUAUUUAGGUUAGUUGAGAUUUAGCAUUUACUAGUAUGUAAAGGAGGCUUGACUGGAAACUGAUCAGACAGAUUUUGUGUGUAAUGUUCCAAUGUACUUCAGCCGCUUUCGUCACUGAUGGGCACACCCCUCAACAUAGCACCCACCCUCCUGUGUGUGCGCACGUGUGUGUGCACGUGCUUGUCAGGGACGCACGUGUGAGUGCAUCCUCCUCAUUGGGGUUUAUUGUAUUUUCUUUGUGUUGCUAAUGCUUUUGGCCUCUGGGGGUGCUCUAUAUAUACAGAUGCAGAAUUUGAGAAACACAGGAUUUUCAACCUGAAAGGAACCUUAGGCAUCUUCUAAUCCACUUGUCUCAUUUUGCACAUACGGCAAUUAAUGUCCAAAGAGGUGAAGGGAUUUGCUGGGGUCGGGGUGGGGGGUGUCAGAUGUAGAACCCAGGUCUCUCUCUUUCUCUCUCUCUCUCUCACAUGCACACACUCACUCAUGCUGUAGUAAGAGAGGGCUAUUUCCUCAUUGUUCACAGCAUCUCUUUGUUUCUCUCUCUCUCUCCCUUGUGCUUCUUUUUUUGCCAUCAGUCUGUCUGUCUUUCCUCCUCCCCUCGCUGCUCUGCGUUCCUGGGCCGGGAGCUGAGGUGGCAUAGGCAGUGGAGAUGCUGGCUCCCAGGAAGGCUGCCGCAGCAGCUGGCAAGGCCAGUGCCCACCAGUAGUGGGGAAGUGGAGGCACAGCGUGUUCUCUGCUUCCCUGUCAGCUGUGAGCCUAGGGCAGCAAUGCCUCAGUCCUGGGGGAAGAGGCACAGAGGAAGGAGGGUGGGUUGGCCCCGCUGUUAUGCAAUCUGUUUUCAGCCUGAUCCUCUUUCCUUGGCUCCCUCCCCUGGGAGCUGACGUUCUCUUAGGGAGAGGCAACCGGUUACCUCCUGGCCAUUCCUCCUUCUUGAGUCCUUUUCUCUAGCCUGAGCCACGUGACCUCCAGUUCAGAUACCCCUUUCUGGAAGAUGUAUGUGCUCCUUGACUCAUGUCCGAGAGACACGGGAGAGUGCUCCCUUCUCAUCCUGAUAUCCUGAUGCUGAAGUCUGGCUCCCAAUUCUAAGCAGACGGUAGAAAUGGCUGUUUGGCUGUGUCUCAUUUUCCAGAAAGGCAUGGAAUCUCAGAUUUGGAAUGGAGUUUAGAGGUCAUCUCUCUUACUCCCACAGCUGUUGGAGGAAUCCAUCCUCUGGCAUCCCUCAAGUUUGUCCAGUCUGCCUAACCCCCUCCAGUGAUGGGCCAGUUCCUUUAAACAGUCCUGCUAUCAUGCAUUUCUCUUAAGGCGCAGCCUUGUCUCCUUGCUUUUCCCACCAAAGGUCCUGCAGUAGGUGGCUUCCCCUGUUUUCUCAACUUCUUUGUUUCUCCUUUGUUCUAUAAUACGCUUAAAUCUGGCUUUUGCCUCUCCCACUUUACUACCAAAAUUAUCCUUAGUAAAGUCAUCAGUGGUUUCCUUCGCCAAAUCCAGCAGCUAUUUCUUUAGUCUUUGUUUAAAUGCUAUUAACCACUUCGUUGAAAUAUCUUCUUUCUCUUUCGAGAAAUGCAUUGUUCUCUCUUUGUUCUCCCACUACUUCCCACUAGCCCUCUCGACUGGGUCCUUUCUCUGUCCAGUCUUUAAAUACUGGGCUUACCCCAGUCUCACUCUUGAAUUUUUCUUCUUUUUAUGCUUCACACUCUCCUAGGGUCACCACAUUCUUGCCCAGGAGCCUAAUCCCCCAUCAAAUGCUGGUGGUCCCAAUUGAACGUGUCCAGUCCCCUCUGCCUUCCUACGCUCUGCCACAUCUUCGCCUCCUCCCCACCAGGCCCUCAUUCUGUCCUACUUACACUAUUGCCGUAGUCUUCCAGCUGGUCUCUUUGCCCUUGACCUCACCAUCUCUGACCCACAUGCACUUAACCCUGCACACAGGAUGAAUUUUCUAAAACUUAGGUCUGGUCAUGCCAACUCCCUCCUUCAAAGCCUUCCCAUUGCCUCCAGGAUAGAACCCAAUCUUGUUGGCCUGGGAUUCCAGGAUCCUCAUACCCUAUCCUGUUUCCUCUGCUUCCCCAUCUAAGUCUGUCUUCUGGCACCUCUUCUUCCCCCUGUCCUGGGUCCCCGGCCCUAACUGGUACCAGUCUCAUCCUCGCUCUCCCAGCUCCCACUAAGUUCUACAGUCCCACGAUCUCGCUCACUCAGGGCCUGCUCCCCACUCUGGAAUCUUCGCUCCUUUCUUUUCCUAGCUAACUGCUACUCAGUUUUCACAUCUCCCCUUGAGCAUCACUGCUUCAGGGAAGUCUUAGUUGCCUGACUCCACAGACUAAGGUAGGUGACCCAUUGCACACUCCCAAGAUACUCAGUCCUUUUUAUAGCCAUCUGCAAGACUGUCAUGAUUUAAUUAGUUACUGGUUGAUUCCUCCCGCACCCCCAGCCUCAGUAGACUGUACAUUCCUCCAGGUCACGACGACUGUGCCUUGUUGUUCCCUCUCCACCCCAGUGCCUGUGUACACCAUAAGCUCUUGUCUGAUUGUGUGAUCGGAGAGCUUUGAAUAUGCCCACCUGAGUAGGAUCUUGAUCCUAUAACCGGGCAAUAGAGGCACAAGGUUAUCCCCACUACGACAGUGACCUGAUGAAAAUUUGGGUUUCAGGAAGAUUGGCUGCAGAGCUUUACACAGGACAAGGCGGCAGCAGCAGCAGGGACUGGGGCCUGGCAGCGGUACAGGCAUGAGGUGCGGGUCUGAGAUGAGUGACUUUCCUCUCCCAGCCCAUAUGCUUCCGAUGGAGAGUCCAGGAGAUAGAGGCAAUUUGCGCACGAUUGAAAAUGAACAGAAUCCAGGAGUAGGCUUAUGAUAAGCUCAGCACACGAUUGUGGAAUGACCUUACCUUAUUGUGGGAAGGUUUUCUCUCACUUUCUUCUCUUUCUGAAUCUGUUCUUAUUUCAUUCCUUGGUCCCAUCGCCUCCUCUUCCAAGAAUGGAAUCCCGAAGAAGAUGCUCUCUGUUUGGAAGAAUGUUCCUAUCUGAUUGGCUGCUAAUUUGUUAAUAUUUUUGUUAUUCUCCACAAUACAUGCACAACUUUCAGGUAUCGCAUCUGGAGGCAUGAACCCCAGAGAAGAAUAAAAUUGUAGUUGGAAGAAUCCAAAAGUGGCUGGGGUUCUGAGGUUCAGACCAGCUAAACUGAUAGCUUUUCUCAACUCUAAUUUCUGUGAUAGGGACAAGGAGCGCCUGUCACAGCUUUCUCACCCUGGGCCCGUGAUCUCCAGCCCAGUAACAAGUUAGGACACUGCUUUUCUGCUCUUUGUUAUACUGGGUUCUGCCCCAUCUCUCUAAAGCAAUCUUAUAAAUCAUUGAUGAGAAUAUUUCUAUUUUUAUCUUAAACAUCCUAGCCAAGAAAGCCUUAUGAAUACUUUCCAAAUCAAGUGCUGGCAUUGCACGAUGCUUCCUCAUUGAUGGCAGCCCCAUUUCAUUGUUUUUUUGUCACUUCUUGGCUCUGCCAUCCAUGUCAGCAAUGCCAAGUCUCAGCUUGGGGGUGGGGGCUGACCCUGAUGCAGAAGCUUCUGUGGUGUCCCUUUCAUGGGCAGGAUCUCCUUUCCUUCCUUCUUCCCCGUGGCUGCCCCCCAAAACCUCCAUCUUAAACGUUUUUUUUUCUUGGUGAGGAAGAUUGACCAUGAGCUAACAUCUGUGCCAGUCUUCCUCUAUUUUGUAUGUGGGAUGCUACCAUAGCAUGGUUGCAUGAGCAGUGUGUAGGUCCACACCUGGGAUCUGAACUGGUGAACUCCCAGCCACUGAAGUGGAGUGUGUGAACUUAACCACUAUGCCACUAGCCCAGCCACACCAUCUUAAACUUUUCAACCUUGAAAUGAAGUUAUGACUGAUAUUUAUUCUCAGUAAGGUUUUCUCCUGUUGUCCAUCCUGCCUCUGAACCACCACCCCUCCAUCCUGAUCAUCAUCCAUGCUGUGCAUAGGAACUCAACUCACUUGAGUACUAACCUACAUUUGAAGGCAUGAAGUUUUAGUAUUAAAAAACACGCUCUCCUGUUGUGCAUUCCCAACUCCACUAGUUCAUGAGGACCAUGUCUCUCUUGUUCAUCACUGUAUUCUGGGCAUUAGUACAGUGCCUGGCACAUGGUAAGCACUCAACAAAUAUUUGUUGAAUAAUAAAUGAAUAAAUGAGAGGCCUAAAGGAUUAGAAACCCUGCACACUGGGUCUCCUCCAUCCCCUAGAACCAUCUGGACCUGGCACCCUAAGAUGGUUACUACAGGGUUUUCUCAGGCUCAUUCUUAGUCUCCACUGAGAAAGCAAGAUGAUUCAAACAUGUCUUUCCUAAUUACCCUCAAUUUGUUUGGAUUUUUCUUUUACUUUGAUUUUUCCUCAGCAUUCCUGUUAAUAAUUUACAUUACUUGUCCCUGCUUACGUUGUUUAGCUUGAUUCUUUCAACUGAGUAAGUCUUGUAUUCCUGACCAGAACAGAAAUACCUGGAGGGAGGCGCUAUAUCCAUUUACUUUAUAGCCCAACUGUAAGACUUGACACAAGGGGUGUUUAAUAAAUGGUUUCCAACUGGCUGAUGGAGUGAAUGGGUCUCAAACCCAACAUCUACUUUUAUUUUUAACAUUAGAGGUUAGAGUCUAAGCCCAGGAGGGAAUGCAGGGUAUACUUUCAAUCCUCUUUGUCGUGACUUGCAUAGUGCCUCUGUCUAAUCGCACAAAGUAUUAUGGAUUUAUGUAGUCUGUUUAAUUGUGUGGGUACAUAAUAGGAAAAAUGUUAGGUAAAUCAAAAUUAUCCGGGAUACUGGGUGAUUUCUAGUCUGUCUUUGCAAUAAUUAGAUGCUUCAGAGAAUUUAUUCCUUGAAAUUUUGAUGAUUGUUUCAAUAACAUACAUUCUUUGUUGUGGUUUACGUGCCAAUGGGGAAUGAUGAUCCAGGAACUCUGGAACUGUCAGUCCAAUACAGAUUGGAUUGAAGCCCGCCAUGAUCAAUGAUGGGGCUCACUGCCAUGAUUGCCAUACUCCCUGCCCCAAGGAGCUCACAGGGCUGGGGGUUGCAGAUGUAUGCCUGUGGUUCAAGGCAAAUAUUGUAAAUAUUUGAACACAUAGAGAAGGAUGAAGUUACUUUUCAUCAGGAAACUGAUGAACAACUGAUGUAAAAGUCAGUAUUCGAAUCGAGUGUUGAAGGAGAAGUCUAAUCUUAUCAGCCAUGACUGUGCCUAAUUCCUAGUAGGGGCUCCAUGAAGGUUUGCUGGCAGCCUGAGAGAAGACAGUGGUCUUCUAGGAGGAGGGAAAGAGUGAGAAACAGUAGAGUGGAGAGAGAAAGGCUCAUUUGGGAUGCAGUGAGUUGUGUUCUGGGCCUGAAGCUGAAGCCUGGGGUGUCUGAGCCAGUAGCUGAAGAUUAAUCUGGUUGGUUGGUUGGAGGCUGAGUAAGAAAGUCCUUGAGUUGAACUGAGGAUUUUAGACUUCAGUCAGAAGGCAACGGGAGUCUCCGAAUUGUCAGAGCAGGAUCUGGGCUGUGCUUCAGUGAGGUUAGGCUGCACUGGUGAGAGGGCUGUGUUGGAUGGAAGGGGCUGAGAGCAGGGGAAUCCUUGUGAGGCAGUUGCAGGGGACUGGAUGGGGGUAAGCAGGGUCAUGAACUCCAGCAGUAGCUGUGGGUGGCAGAGGGGCUUUGUAAAGACAGAAUCUGCAGGAGUGGGAGCUGCCUGCAGGAUGGGCGGCUUGUCCGUGCAGCCUCUGUCUCUCUCUUCUCCCAUCACCCUCCAUUCCGUAAUGUCACCUCCUUCAGGAGUCUGGCAUCUGCAUCUCCCACCCCACAGGGAGGCUCUUGUUCAUGGAGAGAAUUGACUUUAGAAAGGGGUGUGUGAAUUUAUUAAGAUCUCUGUUUAUCUAUAAGUAGUUAUUUAAUGCCUUCCUAUGGUCCAAAAGGGUUUGAGUAAGAUAGUGUGAAUGUAUAUAAACAAGAUUUCCCACCAAAUGGGACCUGCAGUUUCAGCCUGAUUUCUUGUUCAACAGCACAGUUGAGAGUAAGAGCUUUGGGGUGGACAGUGGGUUUGAAUCCUGACUCUUCCAGGGGCCAGCUGCGUGACAGUCAGCAAGUUACUUGUCUGCUCUGAGUCUGGGUCCUUACCUGUGCAGUUGGGAGGCGCAUAACCUACCUCCCAGUUUGUUGUGUGGAUUAAAUGAGAUCAGACAUGUCAGAUGUCAUAGCCAUAGGAAGCACUCAAAUGGAGAGUCAAUAUCGUAAGACUCCUUACUCACUGUGAAUAUGAUUACUCUUUUUGGCAUCAGUAGUCAGGUUGGGAGGGUCUCUCCAUGUGGGUGUCCUACCUCCCUUAGCAAGGAAGCUCUUGCUAGUUUAUCCUGUAUGUGGCCACCUACCUCACUGAUGAGAUAAAGAUGCACAUAUAUUUCCCCAAGGCAUGACUUCCCUUCUCUUUCCUGAUAUUCUCCUGUAUACAGUUCUGCCCAUUUUGACAAACUGGUAUGGGGGAAAUACCAGUAGGUGAUAACGGUGCUAGCGUUUCCAUUUAGGACUCAUUCAUACAGGUGCACCCUGUAAAGACUUGGAAUACAAAAUAAGACUGACCUUUGUUCUCAGAGACUGACUGGGGUGGGAAGAGGAAGCAUGGGCCUCUACAUAGAUAAUCACAGAACAGUGAAGCAGGUGAUACAGAUGGAUGGAUGCAGUGCUGUGGGAGCAGCCCAGGCCAGGUAUGAACUGAGUCAAGAAGGAGUAGGAGUCCACCUGGCAGAGAAGGGAGGGAGGCGUUCAGGCCAGCGGGAGGAUCGGCGAUCUGGGGAGGACAGUGUGUUGGGGAAUGUUGGGAAACCCCCAGGUGGCUCAGUAAAACCAGACUGUGGAGUUUUUUCCUGAAGGAGACAAGAGAGAACAAGUAUUGGAGAGGAUGUGGGGAAAAGGGACUCCUGUGCACUAUCGGUGGGAAUGUAAAUGGGUACAGUUACUAUGGAAAACAGUAUAGAGUUUCCUCAAAAAAUUAAAAAUAGAGCUAUCAUAUGAUCCAGCAAUUCCACUCCUUGGUAUAUACUUGAAUGAAAUGAUAAUGGAAUAUUGAAGAGAUAUCUGUAUUCCCAUGUUCAAUGCAGCAUUAUUCACAAUAGCCAAGAUAUGGAAACAACCUAAAUGCCCAUCAAUGGAUGCAUGGAUAAAGAUGAUGUGGUAUGUAUACACAAUGGAGUAUUAUUCAGCCACGAGAAAGAAGGAAGAAGUCCUGGAGAUCUCAUGCACAGUAUGGUGAAUAAAGACAACAACAUUUUAUUGUAAUCAUCAAACGUGCUGAGAGACUAGAUCUUAAUUACUCCCAUGCCAAAAAAGAACUGAUAAUUCUGUGACAUGAUAGAGACGCUAACUAUUGCUACAGGGAAAUCACGUUACAAUAUAUAAAUGUAUCAAUUUAACAUGUUGUACACCUUAACUUUACACAGUGUUACAUAUAUUUCAAUAAAGAAAAAACUAUAUCAAUUCAAAAAAAAGAAGACUGUGGAGUUUCUAAUGGGGCAUCUGUGUAUCAGAAAGGGUCUAAUAAUGGAAAAAAGGCAGUGGGGCAGGGGAACUGAGGUGCUCCUCAGAUCACUCCCAGAUCAUUACCAGUUUCUCCUCUGACUGGUCUUUACAACCAAGCUAUGUACUAUAUUUCCUGGUAUGAAAUGAAAAUGAAAAAUGAAGAACUUCUUUUAUUUUACCAGAUUUAUAUUCAGAGUCUUAAUUUUCUUUUAUCCCUUUUUGCCUCUGGAGAGGGAUAUUCAGUGUCAAAGAAUUUCUGGCUUCAUCAGCUCAGAGCAUCACCUCCAGCCCCAUCUCUUCCCCUUGGCAGAGGGUGAACAACCGUCCUGAGUGAACCUGGGCAACCUGUCCCCACGCCUCCCUGAGGAUCUCUGAGGGGCCGGGUGCUCUUAAUACGUGCUGCCACCACUAGCACUACUUCAGGGUGAUGGUGGGAGGCAGCCCCAGCACGGCCAUCUGAGAGGUGCUUGAAGAAUGGAUGGGGGGAGGCACUGUGCAGGC
Long non-coding RNA from Equus caballus (horse), 9110 nucleotides. The record is from Ensembl. NCBI's taxonomy places the organism in Eukaryota, Metazoa, Chordata, Mammalia, Perissodactyla, Equidae.